CAGAACUGUUCUCUCUCGGUGUACCAUCAUUCAGAACUCUGAUCAUGCAUCAGACUGUUUUGCUGUAUUGGAACGUCCUUGUUUACCGGAGCACAUCUCCUCAGACACACUGGAAGUCUUUGUUCAGACAGCAGAUUGCCUCAUCAUUCAUUGAUAAUGCUGCAAUUACUGAAAAACUUACCAUGUAGAGAGGCCAAGAUUCAGAAGAACCGGUCGUUAUCUACCGAUUUUCAGCCUCUCACAAACAGAAGGGUUGAACAGCUGGUGGUGUGGCGGUUGGUGCUCACUGGCAGGACUGCGUGCCUGAGAUGACUGAAUCAAGGAUAUUUGCUCUCACUGACAUCAUACUGAGCCAAAUGCAGAAAAAUCAAUCUGACACUCAUUUUUUAGUGUCGUCUGAAGAGUGAGAUUACUUAAAACUUUGUUCUUGUAUAAUACAAGCAUCCACCGCUGGACAGAAAAAUAAUCAAAUGUAUGGCAAAACAGACUGGCACUUACAUAGCACCUUUGUACUCAAUUUGAGUACUCAAAGGACUUUCUACUACACUGCAAUAAAAAACAAAAUGCAUUAUUUAUGUCUAAGAACUUUUAUCUAGCUCUUGAUCCACUCCAGUGGAUAUACCUGGGUUAACUUGAAGCUCUGUGUCUUACCCAAGGAUAUAUAGACACAGACAGGACGAACCAUGGAUCAAUCCGCCAACCUUCGGACUGGUAGUUGACCCGCUCUACCAUUUGAGCUACCUCCCGUAACAGAAGCUUUGCAAAAUGAAAACCAUGGAGCAUCUAUAGCUGAAACACUUAUAUUUUAUGUUCAAUGGUAGUUGAGGACAUAGGAGGUGACAACAACACAGCAAAUGAGAGCAUUUUGAGAAAUUGAUCUGAAACAUUUGUCACAGCAAAAGUAAAUUGUUCCCGUGUGCUCUUAGUUGGUACAGUUUGGACACUCAGGGCCUUCUGCUUUUUUCUCCACACAGGCUUGUGUUUUCUGUACUCUGCAAAAUCCAAUAACCAAGCAGGAGGCCUGCUAAUGAAGCUUGGGACAGUCAAUAAUGCCUCCUUCCCUGUAUUAAAAAGAAUAAAGCUAAUGAUGCCAA
This is a long non-coding RNA of Oreochromis aureus, 1094 nucleotides long. RefSeq lists it as uncharacterized. NCBI's taxonomy places the organism in Eukaryota, Metazoa, Chordata, Actinopteri, Cichliformes, Cichlidae. The record is from RefSeq and is a predicted model, not a curated record. The transcript is spliced from 2 exons.